Molecule: unclassified non-coding RNA, 1709 nt
Filed under: Hevea brasiliensis (rubber tree)
Lineage: Eukaryota; Viridiplantae; Streptophyta; Magnoliopsida; Malpighiales; Euphorbiaceae
Source: RNAcentral
AAAAAAAUUAAAGAACCCCUGUGAGCUCUCUGUCUAAUCAAGUUAAUGGAGUUCUUUAACAAGGCAAAAACAGUAAGACUCAGGAGCUACCAUGACAAGUUCUUAGUUGCAGAUGAAGAUGAAGAAACAGUCCGGCAAGACCACGAUGGAUCCCCAUCUAAAGCCUGUUGGACCAUUGAGUUCGUUCAAAGCAAUUCCCACCUCAUCAGACUAAAAAGUUCAUAUGGCAAGUAUCUUUCAGCCUCAAAUGAGUCAUUUCUACUAGGCUUGACAGGAAAAAAAGUUAUGCAGAUCAUAUCAGCAACAAAGAAAGAUAUUACGAUCGAUUGGGAGCCGAGAACAGAAGGGUUUCACGUGAAGUUAAGGACAAGAGCCGGCACGUUUCUGCGUGCUAAUGGAGGAACCCCGCCGUGGAGGAACUCGGUAACUCAUGACGUUCCACAUAGGUCUGCUACACAAGAUUGGGUGCUUUGGAAGGUGGAUAUACUAGGAUUUGAUUCAAUACCUGGUUACUUAUCCUCUGCAUCGAGUGUUUCGUCUUCGUUUUCAUCGGAUUUUGCUGGUUCAGAGUGUUCGGAGACUGAGUCUCAGUCGGUGUAUUCUGUGUGUAGUGACAGAAAUGCAUUGGAAGAAGAGAAUAAUUAUGCUAUGGAGCUUUUCCAAGAAGCCAAAGUGAUCCGGCUUCGAAGCCACCAUGACAAGUUCCUAUUGGCAGAUGAUGAUCAAGAAUGUGUGAGCCAAGAUCGAAAUGGAGAAGUCAAGAAUGCAAGAUGGACGGUGGAGAUCGUCGAAAAGGCCAAUGUUGUGCGUUUGAAAAGUUAUUAUGGGAAGUAUCUAACAGCCUCCAACAUGCCAUUCCUGCUAGGGAUGACAGGCAAGAAAGUCCUGCAAAGCUUGCCAAGAAGAUUGGAUUCUUCUCUGGAAUGGCAGCCUAUUAGAGAAGGAGACCUAAUCAAGCUCAAGACUCGUUAUGGACAAUAUUUACGUGCAAAUGCAGGUCUACCACCUUGGAGGAAUCACAUUACUCAUGAUAUUCCUCGUAGAAGUUCAACCCAAGAUUGGAUUUUGUGGGAUAUUGAUAUUGUAGAGAUAAGGAGAACAGAUCCACCACCGCAAACCGCCACUAAUCGAGUUGAUCAACGACUGUAUUCUCAGAGACCACAGCUUAGUAAUCAAGCUGAGGUUGCACCUUCUAAGCCGGGUUCGCCCACUGCAAUAUGGCGUACACCACCUAGCUUUUCAAGAUCAGAGCUUUUCUAUUUGCAGUCUGAUGAUUCAUUUGUGGGCGUACCAAUGAAAAACGAAGGCAGGCUCAUCCAUUACAGUGUGGCCAACGAAAAUGGUGAUUUUGACGUCAAUAAGAAGCUUUCCUUUACUUUCAAGGGAACUGAGGUGGAAGAAUUGAAGCAAAGGUUGAAGGAAGAAACAAGGCUAGAUGAUAUCCUGGUGUGUUCUCGAAAUCCAUUGAAUGGGAAACAUUACCCUCUUCGGUUAAAUCUUCCUCCAAACAAUGCAGAGAUGAUUAUUGUUGUGCUUCCCUCAUCAGGGAAAGGUUAGAUUUUUUGAUGUUCUAAAUGCAACUUUAUUUAUUUGGUUUAGUCAUUAAUCAAGUGUUUUGCAUCUUGUUAUGGACUCCAUGUGCAAUUUUACCAGCAGCAUUAAAUAUGUGCAAUUUUACCAGCAGCAUCAAAUAUUAGGCAUCUGAGGAG